CUGACAGCGGCCGCCGGCGGCGGGAGGGGAGGACGGGCAGGAGGAGGAGAAGCAGCAGGAGGAGGAGCCCCGCGCAGGCGCCCACGAACUGUCAUUGGAGAUAUUUAGAAGGACAAUACCCAAGAAGACUGAGCAGGCUUUGUGUAAACAAUGGACCAGGCAGCUGAAGAGCUGUCAUAGGAUUUCAGGGGAUCACCAAAUCUGUGCAAAUCCUUCAGAUGAGCAAGCCCACCCUCUGAACUGUUUAAUCCAGGCUUGAUACAUCAAGAAAACUUCAGAGGAGUUAUUAUUGCCUCACACCAAUGAACUUGCAAGAAUUAAAAAUCAUAAAAUUUAAAAAUCUGAGUGGGAAUUAUGAACCAGUUUCAACACUAUAUGGGGCCAAUUCAUAUAAAAAACAUAAACAUGAGUCUCAUUGUCUUACAAAAGCAAAAGGUAAGAAUCAGUCUUUAUUACUUUGUAUUUCCACAUUACCUGCUUGAUUCUGUUCUGGUUUAUUUGUGAUCAAUCAUAGAAGAUAUGCUUUAUUUAUAAAGCUGCAUGAAAUAUGGGACUUUUUGCCACAUUGAAUCUGUAUGAAGACAUCAUUAAUUUAUACUUGUUACAGGCCACAUAAGAGGUCACAUUCUCUUUUUAUUGUCCUUGCUGGAGCAUGGGAAAGAGGUGUCAUGAUUUUAACUUACAUGCUUGCACAGGCAAGUGCAGAGAAAACUAAUUCUAAAGGAACAAUUAUCUAUUCUAUCACCAGUUCUGGAGAAGGAAAUGUAGAAUUAAAAGUUAUCUUUUGGGUUGCUGAGUCCAGUCUUCUGCUUCUGCAGUAAGCCAAGUUCCCAAUCUUUUUCACAAACAGCUUGUGCUAUUCAAAAAUGUGCUCUUUCCUCUUUGCUGUCUCUCCUAUCCUCCCAGUUUCCCACUUUAUAUGGUGUUUUUUCCAGAUUUUCCUUCUUUUGAUGGGAAAAAACCUUUUAAUUUCCAUGGUCAGUUUAGGCAUGUUUUUCUUGUUCUGUGAAAUUCCUAAAAAAUUCAUUACUGCAGGUACCCAUGUCUGUAUAGGGAAUAAGGGAGGAAAACCCUUAUAAGAGGACAGAAAAUCUACACUUGGGUAAAUCCUUAAGACUCAAGUCUGUUGGCAACUAGGCUUUAAUAGCACUUAGCAUAAAGUGUUUGUGUAUCUAAUACUACCAGGUUUUUCUGGGACUGGCAAAUGAAUUAUUUAGUAAUGGAAACUGCAUGUGCAUGUUUUGGCUUCUGUAGGUUCAUGUGAUAGAAAACUGUAAGAGUGUCUGGAGGGAUCACAACUGCCCAACUUCGUGUCAUAGACCCCAUGUCUUAGCAGGAAUCAGAAAUUCCCAUUUAGCUGAGUAGAAGAGAGAGAACAGAGUGGCAACUCCCAGCUUUUAUUGCUAAUGCUUUGUAAAAUAACAUUUGUGGUCUGUAGAUUCAGUUCUGUGCAGGUCUGUGUGACUUAAGAUUUAUUACACCACUUCAUAUUUGUGCAUCUCUCUCCAAUUCCUGGAUAUGAAAGAAAUUAAAGGUCCAAAAGGCUACCUUUACAUUAAUAGAUCCAGAAAUACCCAAUAUUUAACUUCCCUGGACAAAGGAAUUGCAUCGAGGGCUGGCUUGUCCUGUUAGCAUGUGACAGUGUCAGCCCUGUGUGCUGCAAAGCUUCAUGGAGCCUUAGAGAAUAAAAAAAGAAAAAAGCCAAUGAAAAACAGAUGGAGUUUUCAUUAGAUAUCACUUUUAAUGAUCUGCUUUAAAAGCAAAGAUACACCAUUCUGAGCAGAACGGCCUCAUAAUAGCUGUGAUUGGGUCCCAGGCUCAUUAACUUAGUUACAGAUAAGCAAGACUGCAAGAUCUUUGUAUCAUUAGAGGUUCCAGUCAAGCUUGCCUACCAUUAUUAGAAUUCCAAACACAGCAGAACUAUUUUGGAGCCUUAACAAUAAUUUAUCCUGAAGAUGUAUCUUUAUUUAAUGAUUCAGGGUUGUUAUGGCCUGGCAGUCAGUUGCUCAGUUUCUGGAGUAUUACCAUUUAACCUAGGUCAGGAUAAAAAUGCUGGAAUAUUCAUUGCAGAGCAGACCUGAGAGCCUGUUCUUUACAGUCCACUUGUGUGGGACUCUCCCAAAUGGUGUCACUGGCUGUGAGGGCUGACCCCAGCAGUCUAGAAAACCUGAAGAUCCCUCCUAAAAAGAUGGACCCUGCAAUCUGUGCCUGUCGGUACUAAAUCAACUUUUGACAUGUAAAGAACAAUGCAAUCCCAGGGUUUUAGGAGUAGAUGCUUGCUGGCAAACCACAAAAAAUGCUUUUGUCUGGAACUCAUGGAGCAGUAACAUAGCAAUGGAGGGUGUACCCUUGUCUGUUAUUCCCUCUGAGCAAUUUCUCAGAGACAUGUUACCAGGAUUCAGAUAGAUUACAUGGAACUAGGGGAGAAAUAGGCUUUAAUUUCCUUACAGAGGGAGGGAGAGACAAUAGAACUCAGCAAAACAUGUGGCUUUUUUUUGUUUGUGUCUGAGAGUUAUGUAAGCAAAACCCAGUGCCCAUCUUCAGGCAGUACCCUCUAAAGUGAGACUCACGUGAGAAAAUUUGUGGUACCUUUCUUCUGGUAUGAGUUGAGAAAAUUGCUUUAUUUCCUCUGCAUAUGCGUAAAUACAACCUUUGUCUUCAGCUGAUCUCCAGAUGGGGAGUACAAAUCAGAAUCCAAGUUUCUCAAAGUUCAAGGAAGUUUGGAGCUGAUGUUCUGGUUCACUGCCACCUCUGCAGAAAAAUACCUGCAUGAAUAAAAAAGAAAUAAGCCUCCUGUUUUCAUAAAAGAGGGACUACAAGGAUCAAGCCCAGUGACAGUCAAUCACAAACUGCUAAUUAAACGCUGUUCUGAAACCAGGUUUUUCCCUCCCUGUUAGAUAACUUCUUCAACUUCCAGACUAGAGUUAUUGGUUGACUAGUUUGUUCACAUAGAGUAUUGUGCCAAAGCUGCCUUUUAGUUUAGAUUAUUAUAAACAAAGAGAAUAUAUUAGAUUUCCUCUGUUUUUUGUGUCUUUCAGAAAAAAGAAAAAAAAGCUUGUGUUCAAGGUCAAAUUAUUCCCACAUACAAUUCAAGGGUGGGGGAAAAUAAGCAAAAGGAGAAGAUGGUAAAUGAGUGCUUUAUAUUUAGGUUUGUGUACCUUAGUUAGAAUGGUCCAGCCCUUUAUCAACAGCAACCCUGCUCUUCUGAGGGCUCUUGUUACCUUAUGUCCAAGUAAAUGCAGUCAUUUUUCUUUCUUUGUGGUUUAUUUGCAGACAUCAAGCAUAACCCCUUGCUAUGUUGCUAGAGUGAAAAAACCAACACUUCUUAUGCAAUUGUUUCUUUCUUCUUUAGCCAUUCAGUGGCCUUUUCUUGAUUCGGUGGCCUUUUCUUGAUUCAGUGUAUCUUUCUGAGCAUGGGUGGCCAAACCUGAACACCACUUGAACAAGUCAGUUCCAUCAUACUGGUGAUUCCAGCACAAGGUGAGAGGUUCCCAACUGUUUGUGAAGAAUUUUCACAGGAUGAGUUCUCAGCAAAUUCUGAGCAGGUGCCUUUCCAAGGUAUCUGGCUAUACAAAGCUCAGUCACCCAAGGGGAAACUUGUCCUAAGUAAAUAACCUGUGUGGAUCAAUGCAAAAAUGCAAGUGACAAAGGGCUUGCUUUGUACAUGGGAAUUCAUCCCUGAACUGCUCGGAGUAGCAGCACAUGGUGUCUGGUACUCCCUGGUGCCAUGGUAUCCGUGUGUGCACGAAGAGCACCAACUAAAGCUUAGGGAAUUACUGCUGCAGUGUUUCUAGCACCUUGGGGAAGGCAACUUCUCAACAAGGUAAAUUGGUAUUUUGGCAGAUCUUUGCUGUACCAAGUGUUCCACCAGUGAAGAAUUCUGGAGAAGUGGUAAGAGAAAUACAACUGACCUCCAGAGCGAGGCACUCCUGUUGAAAAUUGAGUCAUUUAAGAUCUGAUUUUAAGAGGUCCUGGAUACCUUCUAGAAGUUGCUUUGUAAAGCAUCUGCAUGUCAGCACCCUACAUAUUUUAAACUGAACAUGCAAAACCCCAGCAUGGAUGGGCACUCUUCAAUGUGGGGGCCUACGUGACUCCCUUUUAGUCACUUGGCAACACAAUAAUAGAAAUAGGAACAUGGGAUUUCUUAUGUCUAUUGUGUCCAUUAGAACAAUACUGCUGAGAGCAACUGAGACCAAAGGCCUGGCCUUCAAAAUAUAUGACUUGAAAAGAAAGCUGCAUUGUUUUGGUAAGGUCCAAAUAUAUUUCAUUCAGCUUUGCUGCUACUCCCAAAGCUUAGUUGUAAACAAGUCACACAUCUGGGUAGCACUGUCUUCAUCAUCACCAGGAAUUACUGGCUUCACAAUGUUGUGUGUGUGCAGAAAACAGCUUGUAAGAGAUAACCUGAGCAAACUCUUAUGAUUGAAGAGUUUAAAUAUCUUCAGUGAUCAGUCUGCAAAGUAGCCACAGUCUUUAACUUUAUGGAUGUAACCCUGAAGUCUUGAAAUUCUGCAUUUUAGCCCUGCAGAGUUCCUCUGAUUCUGCUCCCUAUCAAAUUUCCAUGCUAACUCUUUGUCCAGACAGGUCACUUGUCCAGAGCAAUGAUGUAUGAACUGCUCUUGUGGGAGGUGAGUGUGAACUUGAGUAGAACUCACGGACAGCUAUCAAGAGUUUUGUAGCUAUACAGCAAUAAAACUUUGAAAAUCAUACCUGUAUAUCAUAAAUAAAAUGAAGUAAGUUGUCAGGAUUAUCAUUACUCAGUGCGAAGUGGCAAAAUAAUGUUGCACCUGAAUAACUUCUGUUGAAGUGACAGAUUGUUUUCUCAUUGCAUGGUUGGCAUAUCCUGGAGACUUUGGAUUCUGCACUGUGGAGGCUGAAUUUAUUUGAAUUAAUUAAUAUUUAAAAUGUUCCAUGCCCCUGAUUCCAGCCUCAGUUCCCAAAACAGAAAAGUUCCCAUGACAGAAAAACCACUGGAACAAACAGCCACUGAAUUCCAGUAUGGACAGGGAUCCACAGAAUGGGACAGAGAACUUGGAGACUCCCAAUUUGUGCACAGCUGAUACAAAGCCAGGGUUCGGGGUUCAGGGCUGCUGACAGGAUGAGAAGGGGACAUGAUCUGUUCACUCUAAGAGACUGAGGACACCUGGAGAAGACUACAUUCUGGAGGAGUUGACAGACUUCACCAGUUGUCUGCCUUCCUCUUCUUGGAAAGGCCAUUCCAAAAAGCCUUUGCAAACUUCCCAGCGUGGUAGUAAGGCAAGGUCCUCAGCGUGGAAGAAUAAAAUAAAGAGUGCUCUUGCUGCAGAGCUGCUGCUCUCUUCUGCUCCUAAAUUGUUCCUACUCUUAGUCAAACCCACAGCUUGCCAGCUGAUUCAUGGCUGAUUACCACAUGCUCCCAGUUUCCUUUACACUUGCCUGGCACUUCCUUGGCCUCCCAAGCAGAAAUCUGGACAGAGCACAGAACAGCCCCUUACCAAGAGACACAACUGCACCCCACAGCCUGAGAACACCAGGAUGUGGCAUCACUCGGAGCUCUGCAGGCCCUGAGAGCUCCAAAAGGCAGAGACAGAGACCCAAUGUGUGUUCCUUGGCAUUCUCACACCUCUCUCUUAACUGGGUGUCCCUGAUGGCCUCCUUCAUAAAUCAUUAAUAAAAGAUACUUUGAAUAAAUACUUUCUCUGUUAUCUUCUCCAGUAUGAAGGAUUAAUUUUGCAUGAGUCUAUGCCUUUAGUGUUCUUCACCAGUGACAGAAAUUAAUCUCUUGGCCAGAUUUUAUGAAUGAUGUUCCACAUUUAUUGUGUAUUAUGAACUUUUUGGAUGAUAUAAAGUCAAGUCUAGGCAUCUGUCUUUGGUUCUAACACUAUUUUUCUUCUGUGAUGAACAGCGUACUGCAGUCUAUAGAUACCUGUAAUUUACAACCCUUUUUUUGAGUUUAAAGUAAGAUCAUGAUUAACAUUUUAUAUGAAGCAAGGUGGUGAACAGGAGAGUUCAUUGACAUUUCAACCCUGGAAUCACCCAAACACUGUUUUACAUUCCAAAUAAAAUAUUUGGUGGGUUUCACACCAGUCUUUUAUCAGUGAAUAUCACAAUGUUGCUGUUGGGGAGAACUGAAUUUAUUAAGGCAGUAUAUUUUAAAAAUUGGCUCCAGCACCACACAGCUGGCAACAAGGAAAAAGUAAUCUAAGGCAGCAUGUACAAAACUGUUCUCUAGUUAGACUGUGAAUUUUUCAAUAACUGCCUCCAACAGACCACCCUACGACACUGACUGCAAGCACAGAAAGCCUGAUUGUUCAAAAGUCAUAUAAAUAAAACGUAGAUGAUGAAAUGCCAACCUCCCACUGUUCACCUCCAACCUAUUCUUUUCAUCUUUUUCUGCUUAUUUUACUUGUUUCUUUCCUGGUGUCCUUCCUCUCACUGAUGUUUUCCUUCUGUACCACCCUCUUUGCCUCCCAGAACCAACUGUAGCUUUUAGCUUUAAUGGCAGAACAGGAACUGGAACUGUUCAAAGAUCUUUCAUUCUUUCACCUCCUGCCCCCUUUGCACAAGGACAGGCUACUCACUACUCAGAAAAAAACUACGAAAAUAGGAAAAAUAGUAGAGUAAUUAACCUGGAUCACUGAAAAACCCAAGAAUCUCUCACUCCUGUUGUCUUGAACUAAAAUACAUGAAGAACUUCCUGGUUUAUAACAUACUUUCUCUAAAGGAUGUUUUCUGAAAGACAGUGUCAAUGUGGUGUAAUUUCUUUGGCUACUUGGGUCCAAGUUUUUGUAAAUGUCUCUUGUUGUAGGCUGAAAUGUACUACAACUUUAUCAUUAUUUUCCUUACUAAAAAUUAAACAAGUUGCUAAGAGUUACAUAGACCCAUAAUUAACUUCCCCAUUAAGAACAGAAAGGAUGCAUUUUUAAAAUGUUUUUAUUGCCUUAGUAAUGCAUGUUACAAAAAAAAUGUCUUCUGCAGCAAAACACACGAAGAACAGGGAUGAGUGCAAACCAAACAAAUCAGAAAGUAAAUUAUCUAUGAAACCACUUAUUUCAAUGCAACAGGGAACAGUAAAAGUUUUGAAACAGCUUUUCCUCCUCUGGAGAUUGCAGAACUAAUUGGAGCUCCUGACACAAGUCAAAAUAUUGCACUAAACCAAGACUUAAAUUCCUUCCUCCCAAAGAGGCCUAAACAUUGUCCUCACAACAUGUUUAUUUUGUUGGAAUAGAAGAGAAACAGUCCAGAGAAAGACUGCAACCUGCUCUGUCCUGCCAAGGCAAUGGCUGUGCAACGUGCUCUCUUCAAGAGAAAGACAAGGACAACUUGGA
Long non-coding RNA from Corvus hawaiiensis (hawaiian crow), 7304 nucleotides. RefSeq lists it as uncharacterized. The record is from RefSeq and is a predicted model, not a curated record. NCBI's taxonomy places the organism in Eukaryota, Metazoa, Chordata, Aves, Passeriformes, Corvidae. The transcript has 4 exons.